Molecule: ribosomal RNA, 440 nt
Filed under: uncultured bacterium
Lineage: Bacteria
Description: partial 16S ribosomal RNA
Rfam family: Bacterial small subunit ribosomal RNA
Source: RNAcentral
CCUACGGGUGGCAGCAGUGGGGGAUAUUGCACAAUGGGGGAAACCCUGAUGCAGCGACGCCGCGUGGGUGAAGAAGCGCCUCGGCGCGUAAAGCUCUGUCAGCAGGGAAGAAAAUGACGGUACCUGAAGAAGAAGCCCCGGCUAAUUACGUGCCAGCAGCCGCGGUAAUACGGAGGGGGCCAGCGUUAUCCGGAUUUACUGGGUGUAAAGGGGGCGCAGACGGCGAGGCAAGCCAGGAGUGAAAGCCCGGGGCCCAACCCCGGGACUGCACUUGGAACUGGGUGGCUAGAGUGCAGGAGGGGCAGGCGGAAUUCGUGGUGUAGCGGUGAAAUGCGUAGAUAUCAGGAGGAACACCGGUGGCGAAGGCGGCCUGCUGGACUGCAACUGACGUUGAGGCCCGAAAGCGUGGGGAGCAAACAGGAUUAGAUACCCUAGUAGUC